Molecule: long non-coding RNA, 40181 nt
Filed under: Coffea arabica (coffee)
Lineage: Eukaryota; Viridiplantae; Streptophyta; Magnoliopsida; Gentianales; Rubiaceae
Description: long non-coding RNA (CARA_LNC006959)
Rfam family: Plant small nucleolar RNA R71 (bases 32827-32933)
Source: RNAcentral
CAAUUUAUAAGUCUCCCCCACCGCCUCCCCCAGUAUAUAAGUCACCACCACCACCUCCUCCAGUGUACAAGUCUCCGCCACCUCCAGUCUACAAGUAUAAGUCACCACCACCUCCUUCCCCAAUUUACAAGUCACCACCACCACCUCCUCCAGUAUACAAAUCACCUCCACCACCUCCUCCAGUUUACAAAUCUCCACCACCACCAAUUUAUAAAUACAAGUCUCCUCCACUACCUCCUCCAGUGUACAAGUCAUCACCACCACCUGCUUACAAGUCUCCACCUCCUCCAGUUUACAGUUCCCCACCACCACCAAUCUACAAGUCUCCACCUCCACCCUACCAUUACUACUACAAUUCUCCUCCUCCUCCUCGUCACUACUAAGCAAUUGUAUCCAAGUUUUUGAGGUAAUAACGUUUAACCAAUAAAUUAACUUUCGCAUGAUAAACCUUAUCUCUAUCUAGACAAACUGCCAUGUGUAUAAUGCCAAAUACGUACACCUAGAUCCAUGAAAAUGAGUGGUAGAAAGUUUUCUUAAGAACCAAGGAACAGCAUUAGUAUUCCCUCUGCUUCCAAACACUUGUGUAUUAAAUAGAUUAAUGAAUUGUUUAACAUGCUCAUCUACUUGAAAAUGCACAAUACCCAUAACCCACUGAAAUUUUUGCAGGAAAAGGGAAAGAGAAUCUGUGUUUGAGAGCUUCAUGAAGAUGUUGAAGAAUAAGAAUAAAAGCCCAAUGCGAGGAUGUUUUCAAGUUUUUCUAUGUUUCCACUUUAAUUUGUAAAUUGAAUUUUGCGACUCAAUUAAUUCCCUGUUUGUGGGGUACGUAUUGUUUUACGUACCAUGCCGUACAUGUUUGUAAGGAUUUCUAUCCUAUUGGCAAAAGUCGGUUCCGUACAAUUAAUCAAUUCAUUUCACUUCUAUUGGCUCUACUAUUUAUGCAUGUUACGACAUUUUUUCUCUCUUUCCCUUAUAUUUUGCCUUUAAUAUUAUUGAGUCAAUAUUAAUAAUGGGCCUUUUUCUUAAAAUUAUACUAUUAUACAUAGGUAGUUUGGUCUAACGCUAAAUUCAUGUUUGUCUUUCUUUUAUUCCCUUUACAUCUCAAAGUAUACUAUAGUUUGUAAUCAUUGUGGUGAUGAUAUUACCAGCUGGUACUUAUAGUUUAAGGCAGAGACAUGAUAUUAACAACUAUCUCAUUGAAACAUAAGGAAAAAUCAUGACAAGUGUGAGUCUUGGUUAAUGCACAAUUUGUUAGUGGAAUUUAUAUUUAUAAAACUCAAAAAAAAUUUUUGACAAUGCUAUUACUAAUUAAUUAAGGACUUUAUUGCUAUAACUUAUCGCUUACUAGUUUAAACUAUAAAUGAUCUCAAUACUUUUCUCCAUGAUGUCGAUUUCUUUAGACUACGAAAGGGAAAAAUUAGUGACAUAUCCUCUACUGAUUACAACAUCAGCAAAAAUUAGUUAUAAACUUUUCCGGUGGUUUUAAAUCCCUCGGGCCCUAAGAUUUUUUGCUCAUCGAGUGAAUUAAGGAACAUAGGCAAUUCGUUCUACAUACCAAGUCCUUGUUUAAGAUGCAAGUACUAAAAUGCAUCCACUUCAUUAAUUUGGGAAAUUGCCAUAGUUUUUUUUAAGCAUUUUGAUUUUUUACAUGAUUCAAAAUUUUCUGAUUGGAUACAAUCACUUUGUAUCAAGAACACAUUUUCAAUCACCUUUUUUUAUCUUCUCAAUAAGAAAAUAAAAAUUUAUUCAUGCUUUUCUAACAUAUUCAAUCAUUGAUCUGAAAAUUAAAACAUUAAAAAAAAAGGACAUUUUCAAUCACUGCUUACAGGGCAACUUCCCCAUGUGAACCUCUUCAAACAAAGCCAAUAAUAUGAAGGAAUAUCUAAAUAUACUUUUGCCCUAAAGGCUGGUUGCCUUGGGGUCAAAAUUUAACCUUCCGGAGUAUAAUUACCCUGCCAAAUUUAUUUUUUUUUUAUGGGUAUAUAGUUCCAAUUUUGCCUCCUGUUAAGCUUAUAAAUAUAUUAUCACCCAGAAAAUAAAGGAAUCUUGAAUACUAACAUGUCCAUUGACUUGAGUUGUCAUCAAUUUGGCUACUUCGAUUCCAUGAGGCCAAUCCAAUUCACACUAGCUAGAGAAAAUGGUGACAAAGGCACUUAGAAAAUUAUAUGUAAUAUUGAUUGGUAGUAACCAGCUUGUAUUGAUUGGUAGUAACCAGCUUGUGCUCUUAUGAAAAAAAAAUUAGCAAAAUUUAUGAGAACAAUUAAAUUUAUUCGUACAAAUCAGUCAAAGAAGUAGUAUUUUAAAGACCGUGAUGAAAUUAAUACUUUCAAGGUUUCUAUUAGGAAGACUUCCUUUGUUGGUGAAACUACACUAGGCAGAGUUAUAUGGUAUCAAAAAAUAGUUGUAUUCACGUCUGUUCUUUUUUUCUUCCUUAAGUUUUUUUCUUUAUUCUCGUGACUUCAAAAAUACGAACUCAAGAAAUUGGCUGCUCAAUCAGUAUGUCAUACAGGCUUCGCUAGUGAGGUAUAACUUCACAACUAGAGCCAAUAGAAAUCGUCAAAUGAUUUUUUGACAUCCAAAUUAAGCAAUAAAUUUUGUUUUCAUUUCAUAACAUAUAAUAGUACUACUUCAUGGGAGAUUUUAUAGUUUCUUUAGGGUAUCAUACCUACAAGUGAUAUUUGUCAUUGGAUAGUGAAAGAAGUGUUAAUGACUGUAAGAUUAAAUAUUGUUAAAUAUUGAAAAUUUAAACUAUUUAUCUUUAUUGAGAGAUACAACUUAAAGAAUCCUACCCAAAAGAGACUAUAGAAUUUUCUCUGUUUUUCAUCAUCUGUAGACAUAAAUUUUGCCUAUACAAUGUGAUAGCAUUUUUUCAAAAAGACAAGAUGGAAAAUUGCCCCCCUUGAACGGAAAAUUGCCCCCUUGUCAAUUCUUUAAAAAAGAAUACUCGCUCCUGAACAUAGCCUGUUCAUCUACACUGUCCCGCAGAAUUCUAGAAAGUUAGGCAAAACUAGACUAGUUGACAGGUAUAAUCAUACCCAACAUCAGGAACAAGCAGUUGCACAUUUCAAAAUUCGCUGCUGCAACAACUAAUUUGAUGACUUACAACACUACACGGUCAAACUUUGAAUGGCAAUGGAUCUUUUGAUGUAAUUUUCAUGUUACAUACAUUAAUAGAUUGAUAUCUAUAUUCUUUAAAUUAUCGUAAUAAUACUCUUAAUUACAUUUAAUUGAUAAAAAGAACACGUGUCAACACACAAAAAUGUGUAAUGUGAAUGUUACAUUAGUGUAUAGCAGAAGACCUAUAGUCUCUUCACAUCUCUUCCUGCACGUAUCAAUUCGUUUCCUCUAGAUAAUAAUCUCCCAACUCAUUUCUUUACAAAUGCACCUUUUAUGUUUUAUUACCUCCAAAAGCCUUUACAGGGUCUUUACCCUAAAAAUCAAUUCACCGACUCGCAUUUGAUAUCAGAAAUUCUUAUUACGAAUUCUACUUUACUCAAAGAUUGACUGUUAAUAAUGAGACAACGACCAUUUUGUAUUAUUACACCGUCCUUCUUGAUAGGCAAAAGAAAUAGAGAGGAAAGCGGGUCCGUAUAUGGUCUUUUAUUCAUAGAUAAUACAACAUUACGCCAUCGAGCAUUCACACAAUAUUUCAAAGUCAUUGCAUGCCUAAGACCCUGUUUGAUAAUCCAAUUCCAUACUUAAAUUUAAUGGAUUUAAAUCUUAACACAUUCAAAUCGUUUGAUAACAAAAAAUUGAACAUUUAAAUUAAUUAAGUAACACUGGAUUUCCAAGACAAAACUUGCUCCCAAAAUUAAGUGAUAAGUGAAUAACUUAUCACUGAAUGUAUGUAUUAGAUUUAAUACUUAAUAAUUUAAUAAUUUAAUGAAUUCAGAUUUCAGAUUUCAGAUUUCAGAUUUCAGUUUUCAGUUUUAUCACACACACCCUAAGUUACAAAUUAAUACCAAAACUUGUUAUUAUAUAGCUUGAGAUUCAAAAAUUUAGAGCAUAAUUCUCAACCUAACACAAUUGAAUAAUGAAUAUUCACGAUUGUCAAAACUAUCAAAGUACAAUUUGAGGACAACCCAUUCCAACGCGUACACGAUUUUUAACUUUUCUAAAGUUGUUGAGAGCUGUUGAAAGAGAUUUACCAUGUUUACAUCUUCCAAGUCUUGGGAGUAAAAAAUGAAGCCACUGAGUGCUAUAAAAAGGGGGCUAGAGGCUGCCUAGAAGCAUAUCAGCCUAAAACAAGAAUUUGUAGUAACAAUGGGGAGCAAAGCAAAAGCAACGGAGUCUAGGCUGACUCCUCUUCUUACCACUGUUUUAGUGGUAUUUGUUGCCCUUGGCUUGCCCUUGGAAACUGCAGCUGAUUAUUACAAGUAUUCAUCUCCUCCUCCUCCUCCUUACCACUAUUCCUCACCACCACCUCCUGAGUAUUCACCUCCACCAACCCCUGUUUAUAAGUUACCCCCACCAUCUCCUCCAGUUUACAAGUCCUCACCGCCACCUUACCACUACUCACCACCUCCGGUGUAUUCACCUCCACCAUCACCAGUUUACAAGUCACCGCCACCACCCCCUCCAGUAUACAACUCCCCGCCUCCACCAGUGUACAAAUACAAGUCCCCACCGCCACCUCCUCCAGUUUACAAAUCUCCACCGCCACCAAUUUACAAGUACAAGUCACCCCCACCACCUCCUCCGGUAUACAAGUCUCCUCCGCCACCUGUUUACGAGUACAAGUCUCCUCCACCACCUCCUCCAGUGUACAAGUCUCCACCACCUCCAGUUUACAAGUACAACUCACCACCACCUCCUCCCCCAGUUUACCAAUCUCCACCACCACCAGUUUACAAAUACAACUCACCACCACCUCCUCCCCCAGUUUACCAGUCUCCACCUCCACCCUAUCAUCACUACUACGGUUCUCCUCCUCCUCACCACUACUAAGCAAGUGCAUCUAAGUUUUGAGGUAAUAAUACCUAUCCAAAACUUUAUCAACACAAACUGCCAUGUAUAUCAUGCUAAGGACGUACACUUGAUCCAUGAAAAUGACUUGUAGAAGAUUUUUUUUAAGAACCAAAGAAAUACAUUAUUUUUUCGGUCUGUUUUCAAGAAUUUGAGCAGUAUACAGAUUAAAGAGUGUUUUUUUUUUUAAACUUGCUUAUCAACUUAGAAAUGCACAUAGCUGAAAGCCAACUGAAUAUUUGCAGGCAAAGGAGAAGACAAUCGGUGUUUGCGACCUUCAAGAAGAUGUAGAAGAAUAAGAAUAAAAGCCCAAUGCGAGGAUGAUUCCAAGUUUCUACGUUACCAUUUCUACAUCUAAAUUGACUCUAGCUCCUGAGUUCCAUGUUUAUGGGGUUUGUACCGUUUUACGUACCAUGCAGUGCAUGCUUGUAAGGUUUUCUGUCCUGUUGGCAAACUGCAGGUCCAUAUAAUAAAAGAAUACUAUUUAUAUUACGACACUUUUCUCUCUUUCUCUUAUAUUUUGUCUUUAAUAUUGUUGAUCAUUUUUUUUUAUUUAUCAAAAGUAUCAAAUGUUUAGGUAAUUUGGUCUAAUGCUAAUUGUUUUACUUCUCUUUUUCACCUACACCCCUUUUCAACUCAAAGGAUGCUAUAGUUUGUGAUAAUUGUUUAAGACCGAAGCAUGAUACUAAUAAAUAUCUCAUUGAAAGUCAAGGAAACUAACAUUAUGAAAAGUGUAAAUCUUGAUUUGAUGAAACUAUUUAUUCGUGGAAUUUAGAGAUACAAAACUCAAAUUGUGACGGUGCUGUUGCUAAAUUAUUAAGGACAUUAUCACCACUAUUUUUCCCUUACUAGUUUCAACUGCAAUGAUCUCAAUCUUUUUGUGACUAAUUCUUUUCUUAAUAAUUUAUAAAUACAAAACUCACAAAGAAUAUGUGACUAAUUCUUUCCUUUCGUCUUCUAAAGAAAAUGGCAACUGUUAGUUUAUCAAGGGAAAAAGGAUCGACAUCAGUUGUUAUUGAAACUAGUAAGGAAAAAAUAAUGGUGAUAAUGUCCUUAAUAAUUUAACAACAGCACCAUCAGAAUUUGAGCUUUGUAUCUAUAAAUUCCACGAAUAAAUAGUUUCAUCAAAUCAAGAUUUACACUUUUCAUAAUGUUAAGUUUCCUUGACUUUCAAUGAGAUAUUUAUUAGUAUCAUGCUUCGGUCUUAAACAAUGAUCACAAACUAUAGCAUCCUUUGAGUUGAAAAGCGAAGUAGGUGAAAAAGAGAAGUAAAAAAUACAAUUAGCAUUCCCUCAAAUCGUAGAAAGUUAGGUAGCAUUAUAGACAAGUUGAUAGCCGUAAUGAUACUAAAAAUCAGGCAAAAGCCAGCAAUUUUACAUUUCAAAAUUCACCUAUCCAAUAACUAAUUCGAUGGCUUGCUACAUGGUCAAUCUUUGGACCCCUUCCUGCCACCACAUAUCCCUUUCCUCAAUCAGGGGCUUCUACAAUUACCAGUUCCAAUUGUAUGGUAUAGUGUAAAUAUCAACAAAUCAGAUGUAGACGCUAAUUUAAUAAAUGUGGAUGCUAAGACAACAACAUACAAAAACAUAAUAAAUUUUGGCAUUCCUUAAAAAAAUUAAGUCCCCAAAUCAAUCUCAUACACCCAAUUUCUAAUUUAAUUUAACCCAUUCCCUCUAUUAACUACACCAUACAAUACAAUCGAACCCAUUCCCUUCUAAUUUCUUCACAAAAUGCACCUUUCAUCACCGACAUGAUCUUUACCCUAGAAGACUAUUCACCGACUCUCCAUUGACGUCAGAAAAUCUAAGAGUAAUUCUACUUUACCCUAAGAUUGAUAUCAACGAGACAAUAAUGACAAUUUAGAAUUAUUACACGCCUCUUCUUAAUAGGAAAAAGAAAUACAGAAGAAAGUCAGGCCAGGUCUAAUUCUUUUUCAAAGGCAAUACAAUAUUACGAAAUCAAGCAGUCAUUCAUACAAAUAUUUCAUAGUCACCGGCCGGGGUUUGCUGAGUAGAAAAGUUUAUACAAAAACUUAAUAUUAUAUUGUUUAAGAGUUAACAAUUUAGAGCUUAAUCUCCUUGUACUUUGGACUAAACUCGAACGUGAAAGGAAAUCCCAAAACCAUAUUGGGCAUGAAUUCACACUUAAUAGACCCAAAAGAAGAUGGCGACUGGUGAAAGGCAGUGGAGACUGGUGGAGAGAUUUGAGGAAUAGAAGCAGACGGAAAAGCAACAAAUUUUUGCCGAAAAACGGUCACUUUCAUGGUUAAUUUUGCUACUCUCUAAUUGUACUUGACCAAAUACAACAAUUUCAUGGAGUUUGAUACACAAGCCCAAAUACACGAGAGUGUGUAACCUGAAUUGUUACUUAUACAUUAGUGUGUAAUAGAACGGCAAGCAUUAUGGUGGUCAUUGAGCAACUUAUAGAAGAAAUAGUCCUAUAAGCUGUUCGAUGACCAAUCGCAACUUGCUAAUUGGAUGACUAAUAUAGCUCUAGCUGUAAUGUUUUAAUUAAAUUCCAUCACUAACGUUGGGAUGACUUUUUAACCAAAAAAAAAAAAAAAGCCUUAGUUCAAGCUUUUCCCCUUAUUGUGCAUUUUUUAAAACAUUUGAUAGGCACUGCAAAUCUGUCAUUUUGGACAUCAACCCAUAUCCAACACAAGAUUAAAUUAAUAUUAGAAAAAAUUAUUACGUAAUUGGAAAAAAAAAAAGAAGAGACUAAUUUUCAUUGAAACCCACCGACAAACUAAGCGUGUCCAUAGCUUUUGAUUAGUUCAUUGCCGAUCACAUGGAGUAAAGAUUGUGCUCUUUCCCUUUCCCCCCCUUUUGGAAUCGAUACUGUGGAGAAUUGGCUUUUUCCCUCCUUUUUUUCUUUUCUUUUCUUUUCUUUCCUUCUGUACUUUGCAAAACAUAGGUAAAAAUAUGAAAUCCGAAGCAUUCUUUAAUUGGGAUUAAGUAUUGUUCUUGAAAUUAAAAAAAAAAAGAAAGAAAGAACAACAAAAAUCCCAAUCUGGGUUGAUUGUUGAGCUCUAGAUUGGCUGCAUCGUGCUUCCAUAGAAGUUCUCUUAGUGUGAUACGCUGCUUUCAAUCAGUUUUAACACGGGAAAAAGAAAAGACAUGAAAAGCAAAUUUUGUGGGGAUAAUUUCGGUAACCUCCCCUGAAGUUUUUGACUAUUUUACUGGCCUCCCUUCAGAUUUUAAAAAUUGCACUAAUCUUCCUUAAAGUUAAUUAUCUUGUAACAUUUAGAUCCAAUCAAUAAUUUAAAAAAUGAUAUUAUGAGAGAGAAAAUAAUAUGAUUUUAUCAUUGCCCCCAUCUUACUACAUUAUUUAAUUAAUUUAAUAGCAACCCACACAUUAAAGAAAAAUGCAAAAAUUUGUUGUUUAUCAUUAAAGAUCAUCAUAUCGCAUAUAACAUCAAAAAAUAGUAUAUUAUUUAUAUUUUUCACUUAAUAUAAUAUCCAAAUUACUCUUUUCAGUUACAUACCCAUUGUUAGACAAAAUCAACAACAAAUAACCAAAAAAUUUGCAACCAAAAUAUUACAAAAAAAUAAACUUUAACAUCAUAAAUAUUUUUAUCAACAUAUUAAAGUUAGUUAUUGAAAUUUUUAUGGUGUUAAACUUCACUCUUUGUAAUAUUUUGGUUACAGAUUUUUUUGAUUAUUUGUUGUUGAUCGUGUUUGACAAUGGAUUUGUAACUGAAAAGAACAAUUUGGAUCUUACAUUAAGUGAAAUAUAUAAAAAUAUUAUACUAUUUUUUAUGGCAUAUGUGAUUCUUUUUUUUUUUUUUUUUUUAUCAGAACGGCAACAUUGUAUUAAUAGUAAACCAAUUACAGUAUAGGUGGGCAACCGCCCUCACAAUCUGCCUGGACUUGUUCCAGCAGCCAAACUGGGAAGUUUUCCUUCCAUUCAGUAUUUUGUUCCAAAGUAAUAGCUACUUUAGCUAGUUUAUGGCUAACAAAGUUGUUCACCCUAUUUGCAAAGGUAAAACAACAUUCAUCAAAUUUUAUUCAUGUACAAUUGUUGCUAUCACCACGUCCUCCUCCUCCUCCUCACUGCACACUACUUGACUACCACCCUUCGCCAACCUUGCUGUUGCAUGUGCAACUAUCAUGGCCUCUCUUAGCGCCUUUGCUUCUUCGACCUUUGGACUGGCACAGCUAAAAUUUGGAACAGCCCAGGCCCACCCGCAAUCUUCCCAACCAAUCCCUGGCCACCCUUUUCCCACCCAGCUUCUAUGGCAUGUGUGAUUCAAUCCUUCUUGAUAGGAUUGGUAAUAGAGGCAGAGGGGGGAGCCGGCUGCAUCCGGUCUACUUUUCAUAGAUAGUACAAUAUUGCGAAAUCGAUCGCAUUCACACAAGAAUAUUUCGAAGUCAUUGCAUCGCUAAGUUGCAAAAAAGUACAAACACUUGUUAUUAUAUAGCUUAAGAUUCAAAACUUUAGAGCACAACCCUCCACCUAACACAAUUGAAUAAUGAAUAUUCACGAUUGUCAAAUCUGUCAAAGCACAGUUUGAGGACAACCCAUUCCAACCUGCAAAAGAUUUUUGACUUUUUUAAAGUUGUUGAGAGCUGUAAAAAGACUUACCAUGCUUACAUCUUCCGAGCCUUGGGAGUUAAAAAUGAAGGCACUGAGUGCUAUAAAAAGGGGGCUAGAGGCUGCCUAGAAGCAUAUCAGCCUAAAACAAGAAUUUGUAGUUAUGAUGGGAAGCAAAGCAAAAGCAAUGGGGUCUGGGCUGACUCCUCUUCUUACCACUGUUUUAGUGGUAUUUGUUGCUCUUGGCUUGCCCUCAGAAACUGCAGCUGAUGAUCACUACAAGUAUUCAUCUCCUCCUCCUCCUUACCACUAUCCCUCACCACCACCUCCAGUGCAUUUACCUCCACCAGUGUACAAAUACAAGUCCCCACCACCACCUCAUCAUGUUUACAAGUACAAAUCUCCACCACCCCCACCACCACACCCAGUUUACAAGUAUAAGUCGCCACCACCACCUCCUCAUCCGGUAUACAAGUACAAGUCUCCUCCGCCACCUCCUCAUCCGGUACCACACCCAGUUUACAAGUAUAAGUCACCACCACCACCUCCUCAUCCGGUACCACACCCAGUUUACAAGUAUAAGUCUCCUCCGCCACCAGUUUACAAAUAUAAGUCUCCUCCACCACCACCUCCAGUGUACAAAUACAAGUCUCCACCACCACCAGUUUACCACUACAAGUCUCCACCACCUCCUCCCCCAGUUUACAAAUACAAGUCUCCACCACCACCAGUUUACCACUACAAGUCUCCACCACCUCCUCCCCCAGUUUACAAAUACAAGUCUCCACCACCACCACCACCAGUUUACCACUACAAGUCACCACCACCUCCUCCCCCAGUUUACAAAUACAAGUCUCCACCACCUCCUCACCACUACUAAGCAAUUGCUUCUGAGGUAAUAACACUUGUUCAAUAUACACACUUCUGCAUGAUAAAACAUAUCUCUAUCAACACAAACUGUCAUGUCUAUCAUGCUAAGUGCCUUCACUUCAUCCACGAAAAUGACUGCUAGAAAAUUUUUUUUUAAGUUACCAAAGAAAAGCAUCAUUUUUUCCCUCUGUUAUCAAGAACUUGUACAGUAUGUAGAUUAAAGAGUUUUUAUUUUAACUAGCUUAUCAACUUAGAAAUGCAUAUAACUGAUAGCCAGCUGAAUAUUUGCAGGCAAAGGAGAAGGAAACCAGUGUUUGGACCUUCUUGAAGAUGUAGAAGCAUAAGAAUAAAAGCCCAAUGUGAAGAUGAUGAUUUCAAGUUUUUCUACGUUACCAUUUCUAUAUCUAAAUUCGUUGUAGCGCCUUAGUUCCUUUGUUUAUGGGAUUUGUAUCGUUUUACGUACCAUGCAGUACAUGUCAUGUUUGUAAGGUUUUCUAUCCUGCCGGCAAAUCGCAGGUUCCAUGUAAUAAAUCAAUACUAUUUAUAUUACGACACUUUUCUCUGUUUCUCUUAUAUUUGUUUGGAUUGAGCUUUAUUUCCCCAAAUUUAUUUGCUUACAUCAUCAUUACAAUUUCUAAUACACCUUUUUACCUUCCCGAUUACCUUUUUAUCUCACAUACAUCACAUCACAAAAAGUGCUACAGUAAAAAUAUCUCUAAUAAUUCACAAUCCAAACAGACUUUUGUCUUUAAUAUUCUUAAUCAUAUUUUUAACAAAAAUAUUCAAAUACUUAGGUAAUCUGGUCUAAUGCUAAUUGUAUGUUUUACUUUUCUUUUUCACCUGCUCCCCUUUUCAACUCAAACGGAUGCAAUAGUUUGUGAUCCCUGUUUAAGACGGAAGCAUGAUACUAAUGAAUAUAUCAUUGAAACUCAAGGAAACUAACAUUAUGAAAAGUGUAAAUCUUGAUUUGAUGCAACUAUUUAUUCGUGGAAUAUAUAGUUACAAAACUCAAAUUCUGACUGCGCCAUUGAUAAAUUAUUAAUGACGCUAUCAUCAUUAUUUAUCCCUAACUAGUUUCGACUACAACUGAACCCAAUAUUUUCCCCAUGAUAAAAGUUUUUGACUAUUUUACUGGCCUCUCUUCAAAUUUUAAAAAUUACACUAAUCUUCAUUGAGAUUAAUUAUCUUGUAACAUUUAGUUCCGAUCAAGAAUUUAAAAAUGAUAUUAUGAGAGAAAAAAUAAUAUAAUUUUAUCAUUGCCCCCCAUCUUGCUAUAUUAUUUAAUAAAUUUAAUAGCAACCCACACAUUAAAGAAAAAUACUAAAAUUUGCUACUUUUCAUUAAAGAUCAAAUUGCAUAUGCCAUAAAACAUAGUAUAUCAUUCUAUGUGUUUCACCUAAUGUAAGAUCCCAAUUGUUAUUUUCAAUUACAAACCCAUUGUCAAACAUGAUCAACAACAAAUAACCAAAAAAUUUGCAACCAAAAUAUUACAAAAAAAAAUAAACUUUAACAUCAUAAAUAUUCUUACCACCUCCAGUGCAUUCACCCUCACCAACCACUAGUUUACAAGUCACCCCCACCACCUUACCACUAUUCCUCACCGCCACCCACAGUGCAUUCACCUCCACCACCACCUGUUUAUAAGUCACCUCCACCACCUUAUCAUUAUUCGUCACCACCAUCUGCAUUGCUUUCACCUCCAUCAUCACCAGUUUACAAAUCACCACCACCAUCUUCCCCAGUGUACAAGUCCCCUCCACCACCAAUUUACAAGUCUCCGCCGCUAUGUCCCCCAGUAUAUAAGUCAUCCCCACCACCGCCUCCAAUGUACAAGUCUCCGCCGACACCAAUCUACAAGUACAAUUCACCACCACCCAUGCCUCCAGUUUACAACUCCUUGCCACCACCUAUUUACAAACACAAGUCUCCCCCACCACUUCCUCCGGUAUACAAGUCAUCUCCACUGCAUCCUCCAAUUUAUGAGUCUCCUCGUCCACCAGUUUACGAGCACAAGUCUCCUCCACCGCCUCCUCCAGUAUAUAAGUCACCACCACUAUCUCCUCCAGUACAUGUCUCCACCACCGCCUAUUUACAAAUCUCCGCCUCCUCCAGUUUACAAUUCCCCACCACCACCAAUAUACAAGUCUCCACCUUCAUCCAACCAUUACUACUAUAAUACUCCUCCUCCUCCUUCGCACUACUGAGGAAUUGCAUCCAAGUUUUGAGGUAAUAACGCGUAACCAGUAUAAACUUUUGUAUGAUAAACCUUAUCCCGAUCAACACAAACUGCCAUGUGUAUCAUGCUAAGUACGUACGCUUAGAUCCAUGAAAAUGACUAGUAGAAGGUUAUCCUAAGAACCAAGGAACAUUAGUUUUCCCUCUGUUUCCAAAAACUUGUGUUUGUUUAACAUGCUUAUCAACUUGGAAAUGCGCAUUGCUAAUAGCCAACUGAAAUUUUUGCAGGCAAAUUGGGAAGAGAAUCAGUGUUUGAGCGGUUCAUGGAAGAAUAAGAAUAAAAGCCCAAUGCGAGGAUGUUCUCAAGUUUAUUAAUGUUUCCGUUCUAUUUUGUAAAUUGAUUUUUGCGACUUAAUUAAUUCCCUGUUUGUGGGGUUCGUGUUGUUUUACCUACAUGCCAUACAUGUUUGUAAUGAUUUUUAUUGCAAAAUGCCGGUCCAAUAAAAUAACUGUAUUCAUUUUGUGUCUUUUGAGUAAACUUCUAUUGGUUCUACUACUUAUUUUACGAUAUUUUUUUUCUCUCUUUCUCUUACAUUUUCCGUUUAAUAUUAUUGAUAAUUUUUUUAACAAAAAAGGUUGAUAUACUUAGGUAGUUCACUAGUUUGGUCUAAUCCUAACUUCAGGCUUGUCUUGUCUUUUAUCUCUACAUACCUUUUCAACUCAAAGGAUGCUACUAUAAUUUGUGAUCAUUGUAGUGGUGAUAUUCCGAGCUAUUACAUAUAAUUUAAGGCAGAGAUUUGAUCCUAGCGAGUAUCUCACUGACAGAUUAGGAAACAUCAUGAAAAGCGUAUAUCUUGAAUUAGUGCAACUAUUUCUUAGGGGAAUUUAUAGUUACAAAAUUCCAAAUUUUGAGAUUCUAUUACUGAUUAAUUAAGGACGUUAUCACUAUUUUUUUUUAAUUAUCACCAUUAAAUACCCCACAUACUAUAAGUUUUUUUAGGGCACAGGAAAAGAGGUGGGCCGAUGUUUAGUUAUCUACAAAAGUUCAAAUUUUGUAGAUAAAUUAUCAUGCGCCCUUAAAGAGUGCAGAAUACCAAAAAAAAAAAAAAAAAAAAAUCAUAUACUAUAACUAAUCCUAAUAUUUUUCCCUACGAUAAACUAACUCUUAUCCAUUUCUUUAGAUGAUGAAAGGAAAUAGUUAGUCACAUAUCCUCUAGUGAUUACAACAGCAUCAAAACAAAUUAGCACUCUUUUCCCGUAGUUUAAAAAUCCCUCAGCCACUAAGAUUUUGCAUAUCGAACGAAUUAAGGAACAUAGGCGCUUCGUGCUGGACAACAGUGUCCUUGUUGACGAUGCAUCCGCAUAUACUUCCUUAAGCAUUUUGAUUAUUUUAUGAUUCGAAUUUUUCUUGUCUGACAGCUGGACUUAAUUGAAAAACUCAAGUAAUAAUAUUCCAAAGCUGAUUCGUCAAAGUUUACCCAAUUGGUGAAACUUUCUUAAUAGAGCUGACUUUGUAUUACGUGACAAUGAUAUGGAUGCUCAAAGUUUUCAAUGGGAAAUUUAUAUGAGCUUUUCACGACAAAAUGUGUUCCGAUAAAGGUUCAUUCCAGAGGUUAAAAUUUUGUUUGUUAAAAAUUUACUUCUCAAGUCUUUGAUGCGAAAGUCUUGGUAUUUCCAAAAAGUCUUGAAAUCGCAGCAUAUAAGCCACUUUCUGUUCUCUUUUUUUCAUUGAAGUCUUUCCAAAUGUCAGUUCCAAAAGGAGUUUUUUAUGAAUUAUGAUAGAUAAUUAAUCUGACGGUCCAUAUAUAUGUGAUUUGCAAGAGGGUGUUUGGCGAAAUGGUUAGGCUUUCUAAGUAAUGAUAGGAAUGCCAUUUGCAAAGAAGGACAGGGGGCCUGUGCUGUCAUAUUUUAUGCGAUUUGAUCCGUUGUUGUAUAAGUUUAAAUUUUUGACGUGCAAUUGUGCUACAAUAUUAUACUAAAUAUAUGUGUGAAAUAUUUUGUCUAUAUACAUCACUUUUAUCGUGAAUACAACAGCUGAGUAUAAUAAUAUAAUAUAAUGUAAUUAUACACCAAAUAAUGUAACAAAUAUAACAAUCGAUCUGAAUUACACGAAAUCAUAACAACAAGAUCACCGCCUCCCAAAUUUUACAAAAUAAGGUUUUUUUUUUCUUUUAGAUUAUUGAAAAUUUUCAAAAAUAUUCUACAUAAUUUAAAUUUUUGUCCUACAAAAAUUAAAAGAGAUUUUAUAUUGCACGCUUAAGCUUAGAUAUAUUAAAGUUUGCCCCCAAGAUUAAUUUUCCGUUUUUAUCUAUGGUUUCUCAUCUAUGAGCCGAUCCAUAUAGCUAGUUAGACUGUACUCCUCACAUUUGUGGGAUUUGACACCCAAGAUUCUCCUUCUUGGAAUGUAAAAUGUAGAUCUUCUAUGUUAAUAAUUCAGGACCCAACUGUCAUAAACGAAAUGACUGAUCAACUCCUGUAAAUCUAAUUUAACAACAUUUAAAUGGAGAACUUUAGCUAAAAGAAUUAUGGUUAUUUUCCAACAUAUGCAAUCAUUGAUCAGAAUAUAUAUAUAUAUAUGUAAAAGACAUCUUCAGUCAUUUCAUAGCUUACCAGGCAAAUUAACCCCUAAGUGAACCUCUUCGAACAGAACUGACAAUAUGGAUGAAGAUCUGGAUAUUCUUUUAUCCUGACUCCUAAGGGAAAACUGGUUGAUCUAGAAUCAAAAUUUUACCCUAGUUACCCAGGCAACUUUUUUGUUGCCUUUUUUUUUUUUGGUAUAAAGCUCCAAUUUUGCUCCCUCUGUUAAGCUUAUAAUGCAUAUAAUUAUUAAGAUAAUAAAAGUGCCUUGAAUAGUAUUAAUAUAUGCAUUGACUUGAGCUGUCAUCAGUUCGGCCACUUCGAUUCCAUGAGGCCUUUUCAAUUCACACUAGCUAGAAAAUGGGGAGUCGUGAAAACCUUUUGUUCUAUUCAUUGCUAAGAUGCUUUUCUCUAUAAAGAGACUUCCUAACGAAAAUACUUUGUAGAUUUCUUUACUCCAAGUGGUGCAUGAAAAAUUAAUAUUUUCAAUUAACAAAUAAAAUUCCCUUUUUUUGGUGUAGAUUUCAUCCAUCCAGCUGUUAACACAUUCUAUAAAUCCGAAUUGACUAAUCUUUUCAUUUCCAUUUUCCAACUUGCGAAUACGGCAUCUUAUAUAAUGUCUGCUAAACACUAUAUAUUCUCUGCCAAAUAUGAAUACAUAUCACUUUUCUGAGCAAGUGCAGAGUCAUUAUCAUUUUUAUUCCCACAUAACAAAUUAGUGGUUGAGCAUCUUUACAUGCUAUCAGGUCACAAGUUAAUAAUCUUUUAAAGAACAUGUUAAAUUAAUUUAUUGGUAUGAAUAGUCAAAGAAGUAUGUUAAAGUUAGCAAUCUUUAAAAUAAUAUGUUAAAAUCAUUAGUACAAAUUAGUCAGAGAAGUAGCAUAAACACCACGAUGCAAUUAAUACUUUCAAUCUCAAGGUCUCUCUUACGGAAAUUUGCAUCGGUCAACAUACACAAAGCAUAAUUGUAUGCACGUCUCUCUAUCAUGGAAUUUGCAUAGGUCAAUAUACACUUGGCAUAGUUGAUAGUUGUAUGCGCGUAGGCAUGGCCAUGGUUCCAUUUGGAACUGGGAAUCAGACCGAAACCGGAUCGUUUGGAACCAGAUCAGAACCGGAAUCAAAACCAUGAAACCAGAACCGUGAUAGAACCUUGGAUAAAGGUUCCGGUUCUGGUUCUCUAAAAAAUAGAACCAGAACCAGAACCGUUAAAAAUAAUUAAUAUAAGUGGUGAGAUAAUUCAAAAAAAAUUAGUUGUGUUUAAUAGGUUUUAAGAAAGUUUAAAUUUUAUGGACUUUCUAUAUAUUUUAUUAAUUAUUUAAUUCUUUCUAUUCAUCUAAUAUUUAUCAUUAUAAUUUGCAAGUAUUAAAUUAUUACUUAAAAUUUUUUUUUUUUUUUGCUUAUUUGCUAUCAAAUGACAAGUUUUGAUGGUAGUAGCUCAUCUUCAAAAUCAAGCAAGCAAAAAAAUAUUUUUUGCAAUAUUUCUUCAAAUGGAAUCUUCAACAUUGAUGAUUGUCCAACUCAAGAAAGUCAACAUAUGACAACCAUUUGAUAGUGUAAUGUAUUUUUUAAUUUGACAAUGUAAUGUACUUUUCAUAAAAUUUAUAUUAUCUAUUUAUUACUUCUUACUUUGUAGAAUAAUAAUAAAAUUAAAAUAUGAUCUUUAUUUUGUAUUUAUUUUUUUACGUUUUAUUUGAAAUUUUAAAUAUAUUGUUAUAUUCGUAUUAAAAUUGGUAAGGAUAAGGAAUUAAAUAAAAUUGUAUAUAACCAUACAGAACCGGAAACCGGAACCAGAACUAUAAGGAACCAAAAUCAGAACUAUGCGGUUCUGGUUCUACCUCUUUGAAGAACCAGAACCAGAACCAUUUUAUAUGGUGCGGUUCUGGUUCUACCUUUUUUAAGAACCAGAACCGGCGGUUCUAGAACCGUGGUCAUGCCUAUAUGCACGUCUUUUAUUUUAUUUUAUUUUAUUUUUUGGUACUGUUCUUCCUUGCUUUAUAGUAUGCACGUUUAUUUCUUUGGAUUGCUUAAGAUUAUAUUGUUAAUAAUAGGGCAUUUAACCAUAAAUUAUAAUAAUUAUGAAGUAAUAUAUAUUAGAAAAUUAACACAAUUAUGAUUUUUUUUUUUUGUAAAUUCAAAUUUUAUUAAUAAGAAAUGAAAUAGACCGUAAGCAAAAACAAAAUCCUACAACAACUCUAGGACUCUACACCUUAUAUAAAAAAAAACUAGGACUCUAUACCUCAGAGAAGCUAAACAAUCCAACAAAUAAAAUGCAAAAUAAAUCACAAUAACGCAAAUUAUGUUAAGCUAAUAAAUACUACCAUGCAACAAAAUUUUUGUCUUUGUCCCGCGUGAAACUACGAAGUCAAGAAUUGACUCCUUUAACCAGUAUUGCCAGCGGGGCUCCGUCAGCAAGAUACAACUUUGCAAUUUUAUACAAUAGAAAUCCUCAAAUAGCUAUUUUGACAGGCAAAUUAAGCAUUAAUUUUGGUAUCCCUUCAUAAAAUACAAGAGUACUUUUGAUUAUAUCUAUAGAUCAACUUUCUAGGCUUGAUGUAUUAUAAGAAAAAUCUGCCUAAACAUUUUGAUAGCAUUUUUCCAAAAGCAGAAGAUGGAAAAUUGCCCAUUUGUAAUGGGGAGUUCGUGAUCUUUUCCUCAUUCUAGUCUACUUACAAUUCUUGGAAAAAGGAAUACUCACAUCUCAAACAACAGCCAGCUCAUCUGCGCUGUCCUGCAGAAUUCUAGAAAGUUAGGUGGCAAUGUUAAUAACAUUUCAAAAUUGACUGCUGCGAUAACUAAUUCGAUGGCUUACUACAUGGUCAACGUUUGGAUCCCUUCCUGCCGGCACUGUCCUUUUUGGAUGCACAUUUUUUUUCUCUAGGUAAUAUAAUCACCCAACUCAUUUCUUUACAAAUGCACCUUUAAUCACCACCAAAAGGUGUGGACAUGAUCUUUACCCUAGAAAACUAUUCACCGACAGGCAAAUUGACGUCAGAAAUACUAAGAGGAAUUCUAGUUUCCUUCGGGUUAAUGCCAUUUUGUACCCUUCAACUGUAACUCGAUUUCUAAGCUGUAAUUUGUGACAUUAUAGUCCUUAAACUAUGAAACCCUUCUUACUUAAGUAUAAUGGUUAAUACAAUACUGGUGAUUAGACAAGUAUGAAGCAACCAUAACAAAAAAAAAUCCAAAAUUAGAGAAAAGAAAGAUGUUUCGCGACCAAAGUAUGUAUCAAGGCAUAGUAUAGAAAUAAAAGUGUCAAAAUUAAGAGUUUAGGGAUAAAAAAGAAUCAAGAUAUAGUUUAGGGAUUGAUUUGUCUCAAUUAGAGCUUAGGUGUCAACUAAGAAGAGAGAUAUAGUUGAAGGGUAGAAUAUAGAUAUAAAGGUUCAAUGAUUGAUAUCAGUGAGACAAUGAUAACUUUGGAUUAUUACCAACCUCUUCUGGAUGGGAAAAGGAAAUAGAGAAGAAAGUCGGGCCUGGUCUAAGCCUGUUUCGGAGGCAAAACAACAUUAUGAAAUCACCGGCAUUCAGACAAAUAUGUCAAAGUCACCGGCAUGCUAAGUUGCAAAAUUUAUACAAACACUUAAUAUUAUAUUGUUCUUAAAAUUUUUGUUUAAGAUUUAACAAUUAGAGCACGGUACACGAAUUAGAAAUAUUAAAUAAUGAAUGUUCACGAUUGAUAAAGUUAUCAAAGUACAGUUUGAGGACAACCCAUUCCAACGUGUACAAGAUGUUUAGCCUUUGAAAAGUUAAUUAGAGAAGGUGACGAGAUUUUACGAGGCUGACAUCAUCUAGGCCUCGAGAGUAAAAAAUGAAGACACUGAGCGCUAUAAAAAGAGGGCUAGAUGUUGCCUAGAAGCAUAUCAGCCUCAGACCACGUUUUGUAGCAAUGGGGAGCAAAGCAAAAGCAAUGGGGUCUAGGCUGACUCCUCUUCUUACCACCGUUUUAGUGGUAUUUCUUGCUCUUGGCUUGCCUUCAGAAACUGCAGCUGAUUACUACAAGUAUUCAUCUCCUCCUCCUCCUUACCAUUAUUCCUCACCACCACCUCCUAUGCAUUCACCCCCACCACCGCCAGUUUAUAAGUCACCCCCACCACCUUACCACUACUCCUCACCGCCACCUCCAGUGUAUUCAUUUCCACCACCUUUGCCAAUAUACAAGUCUCCGCCACCACCUUACCAUUAUUCCUCACCACCACCCCCAGUGCAUUCACCCCCACCACCACCAGUUUACAAGUCUCCCCCACCACCUUACCAGUAUUCCUCACCACCACCUCCGGUGCAUUCACCACCACCUCCUCCAGUUUACAAGUCCCCGCCACCACCUUACCAUUAUUCCUCACCACCACUUCCAGUGCAUUCACCUCCACCAUCACCGAUUUACAAGUCUCCACCACCACCUUACCAAUAUUCCUCACCACCACCUCCACUGCAUUCACCUCCACCACCACCGAUUUACAAGUCACCUCUACCGCCUCUUCCAGUUUACAAGUCUCCGCCACCACCUUACCACUAUUCCUCACCACCACCUCCGGUGCAUUCACCUCCACCACCACCGGUUUACAAGUCACCUCCACCACCUCCUCCAGUUUACAAGUCCCCGCCACCACCUUACCAUUAUUCCUCACCACCACCUCCGGUGCAUUCACCUCCACCACCACCGGUUUACAAGUCACCUCCACCACCACCUCCAGUUUACAAGUCCCCGCCACCACCUUACCAUUAUUCCUCACCACCAACUCCAGUGCAUUCACCCCCAUCACCACCAGUUUACAAGUCUCCGCCACCACCUUACCAUUAUUCCUCACCACCAUCUCCGGUAAAUUCACCUCCACCACCACCGGUUUACAAGUCACCUCCACCACCUCUUCCAAUUUACAAGUCCCCGCCACCACCUUACCACUAUUCCUCACCACCACCUCCAGUGCAUUCACCCCUACCACCACCUGAUAGGGUAUAAUUUGUUAGUAUUUUUAUUAUUAAUUUUCCCUUCUAUCCCUGACAAAUAUUGUGUUAAUUGCUGAUAUUUACUCAUAUUUGGUAUUUGGAAUCAAUUUCAGGAAUGAAGCAGAAAACUACCAAAAAGGAGGGACUUUGUGAAAAAUAUGGAGACUUCUAAGGGCUUCAAUCCUUGGGCCCUUGAAUUGGUGGGGGACCACAAGCUAGUGAAAGGCAUUUGGUCAUUUGGGCUUCAAAGAAAGCAACGUAGAGAGACUUGGAACAAGAAGUACUUGGGAGGCUUUGUCCACAUGUGUGGGGACCACCUAGAUAGCUUUUAGUCAUCUUUCUUUUGUUGCUUUAAAAGGGGACAACGUACAGAAGCAAAAGAUAUCUAGGGCUUUAGUUUUAGUUUUUAGUUUAGUUCUAGUUUUCUUUCUUUGGACUGGCCUCUGACACACGCCAGGUAUUCGACAAUAUUCCCCAACGGGGAGAUUUUCUCAUGAGGCGUGGUUAAGCUUUUCAAGGGGACACUGACGAUUUGGUUCAAUUUACUGUGAGAUCGAAUCUGUUUUAUUUUUUUCUUCAUUUUGGUUUUUAUAUGUUCCUUGAUUUUAAUUGCUAUGGCCUUGUGUAUGAUUGAUUAGUGCACAAUAAUUAAUUAUUCAUAUAGGCUAUUUUUGCUAAAUAGGGGUAAUUGAAUCCGUAAUUGUUCGUUAUCUCUACCUCAGUAGCAACUGGCGUAAUUGGGUUUAUGUCAGGGGAGCAUAUGAUCUAAUUUAAACAAACCCUCGUAGCGUAUUUGUUGGUUAGGAUUGGGCCUUUCUAAUUAUUAUGCAAUCUAGAAAUUAAAUCCUACGGUCGUACCUAGGGUUAUUUUUGGGUUAGAGAAAUAGCUAACGGUCGUACCUUAGCUAUCGAGAAAUUAAGGAAGGGUUGGUUGUUUAUCGCGUGCAUGACAACUAUAACUAAUCUAUUGCUAAAUGUUGGAAUUAUUUCUGCAUCAAUGAUCAGUGCCUGAACCAUUUCUGAAGUGUACCCUUGGCUAGAGUUUCUCUUAAUUAUUUCUUUUAAUCAAUUAUUUUCUGCACUUGAUUUAUUUAGUUAGCAUUUAAUCCAAGAACCUCCCAUACUCUGGACUCUAGAAGAAACGAAUUAUCCCCAAUCCCUGUGGAUUCGACCCUGCUCGCCGCUAUAUACAAAAUCUGUAUUUUUCUUGAGUAGGUAAUUAUUAUUGCACAGGUUCGGCACCUGUCACCACCAGUUUACAAGUCUCCGCCACCACCUUACCAUUAUUCCCCACUACCACCUCAAACGCAUUCACUCCCACCACCAGUUUACAAGUCACCGCCACCACGUUCUCCAGUAUACAAAUCACCUCCACCACCUCCUCUAGUUUACAAAUCUCCACCACCAUCAAUUGAUAAAUACAAGUCUCCUCCAGUGUACAAGUCAUCUCCACCACCUGCUUACAAGUCUCCACCUCCUUCAGUUUACAGUUCCCCACCACCACCAAUCUACAAGUCUCCACCUCCACCCUACCAUUACUACUACAAUUCUCCUUCUCCUCCUCCUCCUUCUCACUACUAAGCAGUUGUAUCCAAGUUUUUGAGGUAAUAACGCUUAACCAAUAAAUUAACUUUCGCAUGAUAAACCUUAUCCCUAUCAAGACAAACUGCCAUGUGUAUCAUGGCAAAUCCGUACACUUAGAUCCAUGAAAAUGAGUGGUAGAAGGUUUUCUUAAGAACCAAGGAACAGCAAUAGUAUUCCCACUGCUUCCAAAAACUUGUGUAUUAAAUAGAUUAACGAAUUGUUUAACAUGCUUAUCUACUUGAAAAUGCACAAUACCCAUAACCCAUUGAAAUUUUUGCAGGAAAAGGGGAAGAGAAUCUGUGUUUGAGAGCUUCAUGAAGAUGUUGAAGAAUAAGAAUAAAAGCCCAAUGCGAGGAUGUUUUCAAGUUUUUCUAUGUUUCCACUUUAAUUUGUAAAUUGAAUUUUGCGACUCAAUUAAUUCCCUGUUUGUGGGGUACAUAUUGUUUUACGUACCAUGCCGUACAUGUUUGUAAGGAUUUCUAUCCUAUUGGCAAAAGUCGGUUCCAUACAAUUAAUCAAUUCAUUUCACUUCUAUUGGCUCUACUAUUUAUGCAUGUUACGACAUUUUUUCUCUCUUUCCCUUAUAUUUUGCCUUUAAUAUUAUUGAGUCAAUAGUAAAAUUAUACUAUUAUAAAUAGGUAGUUUGGUCUAACGCUAAAUUCAUGUUUGUCUUUCUUUUAUUCCCUUUACAUCUCAAAGUAUACCAUAGUUUGUGAUCAUUGUGGUGAUGAUACACUACAACAAAAAUGGCCUUUCCUGACAUGUCUAUAAGGACACUUGCUGGUUUUUGUCAUUAUAGCACUUCUAUCAUGACAUUUGUUAUCAAUUCACUAAUUUAUACUUUUUUUUAUUUUAUCUGAUAUAAAAAUAAUAAUGUGUCUUUAGAUUUCCUAUCAUGGCAUUUUAGAAAAUGUGAGAUACAACGAAAAAAUUAAAACAUAAAACGAUGUCGUUUGAUUUUGACGGAAGAUUCAUUUGCCAAAACACUUAGUGAAAUCUCAAAACUUUCAUUGUGUCGAUUCUUCUCCUCUCUCUCACAAACCCUCUCUCUCGGCAGACUAUCUCUCAAAACUCCCCCAUUUUGGUUCUUUUGUCUUCCGCCUUCGCCGCCGCCCCACUCCUCCAUUUUCGGUUGCUAACUUGGCCGCUUCUCUGCCCUAUUCGGUCAACCACGACACCUACACCAAUAAGUCUUCGCUCUCUUUGCUAGGACAAAAGGAAUAAAAAAACAGAUACUCAUGUUCUUUCCUUUUUCUUCUUUCCUCUGAAACCGAUCCCCAUGCUUCUCCGUACUGACUAGAUAUUCAGGUUGAGCGUGUUGAGGAGUAGAGUAGGCGAAGGUUGCCGCCAUCGUCUCAUUGAAGUCCAGCCACUACAGCGGAAAUCAUCACUGUAAAGUUUCCCGUACUCUUAUACCUUUUUUCCCCCUUAAUUGUAUUGUUUUCUUCUUUGUCUGCAAUCAUGUCGGUUAUGCUUUACUUUCGUCUUGUUAAUCGAUUUUAAGUGGCUGGAAUUGAUCAUAGGUUUGAGUAGAGUUUUAGAUUUAAAAUUCAAGCUCAGGCCGUAUAAGGAACUGAUGAAAAAGAAAUUUCAAAACUUUUCAUCCUCACUACUUGUUUGUCGGAAGGUUCGAAUGAAGAAAGAAGGAAAUUUGCAAUGGAAGUGAACAGAGAGAGAUGAAAGUGAUUGGAGAGUGAAAUUUUGCCUUGGUGAACUUUUCUUUUGUUUUUGAUCAUCAAGUGCAAUAGAAAAGUACAUUUAGUACAAUUUCCUAACUAUCUUAGAGGAAAUCUUGUUUGGAACUUUCGCUGGAUGCUAUGCAACUUAUUUUUGAUGCUUUGGUCAUGAUUGUUGUUCUGUUUGCUACAGCCCCAUAAGAAGGUUUUUUUUUAAUUAUUAUUAAAAAUUACCGCAUAGCUUGGAUACUUUUGCAUUCCAUGCACCAUGUCAGCUAUUCAUAGCACAUAGCACUAAAGUAGAGCACUCUGUAAUUUUGGAGAUGUUUCAUCUACGCAUUCAAUUAUUUCGAGUUUUUAGUCCAAUGGGUAAUAAAUUGGUUGUACAUCACUUAUUAUGUUGCAUCCCAGUUAUAUUGACCUAGAACAAUUACCAUAUAGACAAAAAGAAGAUAUUAACUGCAGCAAAUUGAAGAAUAAAAAGAGUAUUUGUCAAAUCUUUUCUCCCAACAUCCCUCGUAAUUCUUUCCCCCAACCUCAACUUAGGCACACAUUGUGUCUCUCCUUUUCUUCUUCAAACUAAAUGUUCUUCUCAUGGACAAAUAAGAAUAAUUUGAAUUUAUGAGGAUACAGAGGAAGAGAAUGAAGAUGGAGAAGUUAAUUGUUAUAACUCCAGUUAUGAUAAAGUUGAAGAUGACUUUACAUAAGAUGGAUUAAGUGACUAGUGCUCUAUUGUAAGAUGCUGGGUGCAUAUCUUAAUUUCUUUGAAUUGACUUUAUAUCUCAAAAAAAAAAAAAAUUGAAGGGAUUCUAUAUUUAUUUGACUUGUGUGGUAUUUAUUUGUGUGACUGUCUUGUUUUUUGUCUGCUUUUAUGAUCUAGAGCAUUGAUUACUCUAUAUUUUUAGACAAGAAUAUAUUGUUUUUGUUGUAGAAUUUCUGUAGAAAAAAUACAGAUCUUGCACAUUAAACCCAAUGGGGACUGUUUGCACUAUAAUGCAUUAUGGGCAACUAACAAAUUGGGAUUUGCUAGCCAUUCAAUAUUUUGUAAAUCCUCUGCAGUGUAACAUACUGGAAAUUGCCUUUCAGUUACAGUCUCCAGCGAAGUGUCCUGAUUUAGUCUUUCAAGUUGGAAUGUGACUAAUAGUUUCUUAUCUUUUAAAAGUUUGCCAAUUUCAGGAGGAUUGGUUACAUAGUUUUUUAAGAUUUCUUUCCUCCAGUGGGCACUUAAAAAAAUAGUGAUUAUUGAGUGCUUUGAUCUGUUGAAAUUUAAUUGAAAAUUUUCCGAUCAUUAAUUGACACACUUCAAAAUACUAAUGACUACAUAUGUCAAAGCACAACCUAGGAAAUUAUAUCAGCACGUGCUCCGAUUGUAUGGUACUAAACUUGCAGUGCUUCCACAAAGAAUGUGAAGAGCACAUAUAUACUGAUCAUUGAAAAGAUAGAUUUCUAUUAUGAUUCUGCUAAUGUUUGAAGCACUAAAUGUGAAAUUGCUAUCUAUUUUGAAUGAGUAUCUGUUUCUAUGAAAACUUUGGACAAAUAUGCAUAUGACAAUAGUUUCUAAUGAAGUUACAAACGAUGCUGAACCUUUGGCAUUAUACCAAGAAGGUGUUAAUCAAGUUAACUGGUUACACUUCUAAGCCCUUGCCUGUGGGCAGAAUCUGAGCUAGCUUUAUUCAUUUGUAGCAAGAAGUAAUUUUGCAUGCCAAUGCCAUGCAUUGUUGACUAACCUGUCGCAUUCAGUGUUUGGACAGGUGGGAGUAUAUUGGCGGCACUUGGUUCCUUUCAGCAAAUUUGGUUUUCAAAAUCUGAGUAAGCUUUUACAUCUACUCUACCUUUCAAUAUUCAACUUUUCUUCUUUUUUUCUCCCCAUUUUCAGUCUGUUUUAUCUCUCGAUUAAUAGGUUUGAGGAACAUGGAACUUCUUAUGUUCAAAGAAAAUGCCCGUAAAGUACUUUACUGGUGCGGACAAUUAUCACAUUAGACAGAAAUUCAUGGAGCUGACUUCACUUUGAUUAGUUCGCUGACGGUAUGGGUUGCUCGGUUUUAAUAUCCUGCUUUAUAGGAGCCCAAGCAAUGUACUAUAUAUAUACUAUACCUCUCGCGGAUCGUUGCUAAUGUUGUACAAUUACGUUACCUGACUUUUAGCAUUUCUUUCAACUGGUUAGGGAUGAGAGUCUUUUUGUUUGUGCACAAGAAAGUCUUUCAAGUUAUUGUAAAUGAGAAUCUUUCGGUAAUUUUUUGGGAUUUUAGUACUUGCUUUGAGCAUUUGUUUGCGAUUUUAGUACUUGCUAUGUUUGUACUUGUUAUUGACUUUUAAUUCAAUGAAUUAUAUUUGAGUAUCGACUUCUUCUUUUAAAUUGCUAUAUGCAUUCUGCCUUUUGGGAUAAUUUUACAAGUCCCUUGGGAUUCUGGUUGAUGGAAUGUACAGCAGGGAGGACUAAUUACAGGUUGCUUCCAUAUGAAAAAAAAACAGGAAAAAACUCCUGGCAAUUAGAAGUGUCAGCAUAGCUUAGCUUCAAAAAACACUAAUGACAAAUGGGCAUGUCAUCCAAAGCAGUGUAAAUUCACAUGGCUACGUGUCCUUAAAGCCAUAUAUUAAGACAAUUCAAGAUGCCUUCAUAAAUUGGAUAUACUACUAAUCCGCUACUGAUGUUCUAAUGCUAUACGGACACUUUCGAUUAUCACAAAAAAAAGUUUUUGUUGGCAGAGGGAAUGCUAUAGCAGCAUGGUUUUCCUGACACAUUUGAAUGUUGCCAAAGAUUUGAGGCUAUCCCCACAUUGGAAGGGACAACACUCGCCCUAGGUGUGAGGAUAGAUAAAAUGUCAGGUUAGAUUAUCUAUACUGACACCUUUAAAUGCCGCUAAAGGCCAUUUUUGUUAUAGUGAUAUUACCGGCUGGUACAUAUAGUUUAAGGCAAAGACAUGAUAUUAACCUAUCUCAUUGAAACAUAAGGAAAAAUCAUGACAAGUGUGAGUCUUGGAUAAUGCACAAUUUGUAAGUGGAAUUUAUACUUAUAAAACUCAAAAAAAAAAUUUCACAAUGCUAUUACUAAUUAAUUAAGGACUUUAUUGCUAUAAUUUAUCGCUUACUAGUUUAAACUGUAAAUGAUCUCAAUAUUUUUCUCCGUGAUGUCGAUUUCUUUAGACUACGAAAGGGAAAAAUUAGUGACGUAUCCCCUACUUAGUUAUAAACUUUUCCAGUGGUUUUAAAUCCCUCGGGCUAAGGACGUACACUUGAUCCAUGAAAAUGACUAGUAGAAGAUUUUUUUUAAGAAUCAAAGAAAUGCAUUAUUUUUUCGGUCUGUUUUCAAGAAUUUGAGCAGUAUACAGAUUAAAGAGUGUUUUUUUUUAAACUUGCUUAUCAACAUAGAAAUGCACAUAGCUGAAAGCCAACUGAAUAUUUGCAGGCAAAGGAGAAGGCAAUCGGUGUUUGAGACCGUCAAGAAGAUGUAGAAGAAUAAGAAUAAAAGCCCAAUGCGAGGAUGAUUCCAAGUUUCUACGUUACUAUUUCUACAUCUAAAUUGACUUUAGCUCCUGAGUUCCAUGUUUAUGGGGUUUGUACCGUUUUACGUACCAUGCAGUACAUGCUUGUAAGGUUUUCUGUCCUGUUGGCAAGCCGCAAGUCCAUAUAAUAAAUGAAUACUAUUUAUAUUACGACACUUUUCUCUCUUUCUCUUAUAUUUUGUCUUUAAUAUUGUUGAUCAUUUUUUUUAUCAAAAGUAUCAAAUGCUUAGGUAAUUUGGUCUAAUGCUAAUUGUUUUACUUUUAUUUUUCACCUACAUCCCUUUUCAACUCAAAGGAUGCUACAGUUUGUGAUCAUUGUUUAAGACCGAAGCAUGGUACUAAUAAAUAUCUCAUUGAAAGUCAAGGAAACUAACAUUAUGAAAAGUGUAAAUCUUGAUUUGAUGAAACUAUUUAUUCGUGGAAUUUAGAGAUACAAAACUCAAAUUGUGACGGUGUUGCUGCUAAAUUAUUAAGGACAUUAUCACCAUUAUUUUUCCCUCACUAGUUUCAUCUGCAAUGAUCUCAAUCUUUUUGUAUUGAUCGGUUGUAAUGAAUCGCGAUUGAUUGGUUGUAAUCCGCUUGUAUUGAUCCCACUAUUGUGGAUACUUCUACGCUCAACAAAAAAUAUAUAUAUUAAAGAAUUAGCAAUAUUUUUUAGAACAAGUUAAAUUUAUUCAUACAAAUUAGACAAAGAAGUAUUUUAAAGACCAUGAUGAAAUUAAUACUUCCAAGGUCUCUAUUAGGAAGACUUCCUUGCCUUGAGUUGCAGUUGCGUGCAGAUGUUUAUAUUUCAAAUUGAUGGUAUAGUAAAAAUGUUGAAUUUCUUUAUCCCCGUGACUUCAAAAAUAUGAACUCAAGAAAUUAACUUCUUAACCAGUAUGUCAUACAAGCUUCACAAGAAAUGUAUAACUUUGCAACUAGAGUCAAUAGAAAUCGUCACAUAAUUAUUAAUUUUACAUCGAAAUUAAGCCUGUAUGACAUACUGGUUCGAGGUUUGGCCACGCUACCUUCCUAUUGUUUAAAAAUUCUCACAUAAUCCCUUGUACUUUGGACUAAACUCGAAUGUGAAAAGAAACCAUCCAAGCUAGUUUGGGAUACACUUGUUGCACUUUGAACUAAACUUGAACGUGAAAGGAAAUCCCAAAACCAUAUUGGGCAUGAAUUCACACUUAAUAGACCCAAAAAAAGAUGGCGACUGGUGAUGGAGGUGAAAGGCAGUGGGGACUGGUGGAGAGAUUUGAGGAAUAGAAGCAGACGAAAAAGCAACAAAUUUUUGCCAAAAAACGGUGACUUUCAUGGUUAAUAUUGCUACUCUCUAAUUGUACUUGACCAAUACAACAGUGAAAUUGUAAUUUAUGCUGAAGAUGGAGUUUGAUACGUGAAGAGAAUUUUUUAUAAAUUUUAUUUUGACCCAUAAUGUUAUCUUUAGAUACAAAAAAUAUUUUAAAAUUUUGAUUUUGGCCCGGUUAACUUUUGGUAAACAAAAAAUGCUCAUGCUUAGUGACAGGUUGUCGAUGCCUGUGCAAAAAUAAAAAUAAAUCUAGUUGCCAAUUAAAAUAAUCAGAGCCCAAUUCUGAGUACUGGAGCAGGGACUCUAGGUGUGCAAUGGGUUACUUGAUUCACUCUAUUUCCGAAGAGUUUGCUUAACCCGAUAUACCAGAAUGGGAUUGCUUAUUCAAAAGGAAUUGUUGAUUUGUAAACAGGGCAAGUAGGGUCGUAUUCUCAGGUGGGCUGGCGGUGCGCGGUCAAUCGACGGAGAAAGAGAGGAAAGGACGCGGGUGGAGGUUUUUGGGUUUUGGCCAAGAGAAGAGGGAACGCAGGGAAAGAGAGAGAGAGGGGCGGUGCUCGGGAAGGUGAGCGGCGGACGACGGCUAGGAGGGAAAAGGAGGAGCGGCGUGCGAAGUUAGAGAGGAGGAGGGAGGCGGCAUACGAAGGAAAAAGAAAUCAAGGAAGAAGAAAGAAAGAAAAGAGGAAGAAAGAAAAGAAGAAGGAAAAAAAAUAGUUUUUGGGUUUUUUUUCAAUUUUUUUUUAUUUUUUUGAAUUUAAAUGUCAAAUUUUGAAUUUUUGAAAAAAAAAACUGAAGGUUAAAAAGGAAAAUAAUUUUAUUUUGCUAAAAAAAAAUUUUUAUUUUUUUAUUUUUUUUUGUUUUGGAUCGUCAAACACAGCGUGGGCACGCCAAAAUUAUAAAACGUCCACUGAUCUUGGGAGUCACUGACACGGCGUGGGCACGCCAAGAUUUCACUUCCUGCCAACGUCGCGAGAUGUUGAAAUUGUACUAACAUGGCGUGGGCACGCCAAGAUUGGUAAACAUCCACUGGCCUUGGGAGUCACUUUUUGAGUGUCCUCCUCGCGUGGGCAUGCCAAGAUUCUAUGUCCUGGUCACAUUGGAGAAAAAUAUGAAAAUUGACUAGUACCCAAAUGAAAAACGACAAAUCGAAAGAAUUGAACAACAAAAAAUAAUAAAGCUAAUAUUUGGGUUGCCUCCCAAAAAGCGCCUUUUUUAACGUUUUUUGUUAGACGUUGAACACCACUCUUCAAUUUGGAUGUAAUUCAAUUUUCCUUGUAAUCGGUGGUCCUACUCCGGGUUCCAAAUAAUCAUUGAGUGCAGCCUUCUUUCUUUAUUUUCUAUUCAUUUUCACCUCAUAAAUUGCUUUCAUUCCCUGAUAUUUGUUCGCAAGAAUUUUGAAUUUACCCCUACAACCAAACUCAAAAAAUUCUUGCACAAAGGAAUUAGUAGCAUGAAUAGCAAACACAGAAUGAGAGUUAACAGUAUGUUUUAUUGUAUUAAAAAUAUUAAAAUGGACUAUUUCUCCAUCGAAUUCCAUUGUGAGAGUACCCUUACUAACAUCAAUCUUAGUUUGGAUAGUACUCAAGAAUGGCCUUCCUAAUCUAAUGGAUGAUGGAUUUGGGACACUUUCAUCAUCCAUAUAAAGCACAUAAAAAUCAGCAGAAAAAAUUAAUCCAUCUACUUGCACUAAAACAUUCUCAACUACCCUAUCUGAAUAAGUAAAUAUACGAUUAGCCAAUUAAAUUAUUAUCCCUAUUUCUUUUAAAGAUCCUAAAUUUAGGGAAUCAUAAAUUGAUUUAGGCAUCACAUUAAUAGAAACUCCUAAAUCUAGCAUGGCAUUUUUUAGAUUAGAAUGUCCAAUCUUACAUGGGAUAGUAAACAUACCUAGAUUCCCGUAUUUAGGUGGUAGUUUCCUUUGUAAAAUUGCUGAAAUGUUCUCAUCUACCACAAUAUGCUUGUCCUCCCUCAAUUUCUUCUUGUUGACACACAAGUUUUUCAAGCAUUUAGCGUAUUUUGGCACUUAUUUGAUCGCGUCCAACAAAGGAAUAUUGAUUGCCACCUUGCGAAAAAUGACGGAAUUUUUAUAUCAAUGCAAGUUUAAAUUCGAUUUUAUACCCGUUGACUGCAAGUAUACAGGCCGAAAUUGUAAUGUAGGGUAUGUAUCGGGUCGAUCCCACGAGGAGCAAAUUAAACAAGUACUAAGCCCUUAUUUUUCUCUAUUAUUUAGACUCACAAUAAAUUUGAACAGAGAAAGUAUAUUGCUAAAAUUUACAAAUUUGAUAUACAAAUAUAAUUUAACAAAUGCUAAAUGCAAAAGAAGAAAUUUCACUCAAGGAAGAAUUUAGGGAUGUAGAUUCCACUUAUGGCAUAAACAACACAAAUGAAUGGAUUUACCUCUUAUUAUUAUUCUUGUUUAACUAGGGAUUCAUUUCCAAAAUUAUCAAGUCUCAUUUUCAUGAUGAAAUGGCCUAGACCAAUAUAGUUUUCCCUAUUUUCAUGGUGAAAUACUACUACUACUCUGUUUUAUUUCAUGAAAUGCUGAAUAAUCCACCUAAGUGUAUCUCUAUUUUCAUGAACAUACAACUUAAGCUCUACUCAUUUAUUUCCAUUGUUACUACCAAUUCUCAUUGAAUAAUAACAACUAUAAACAUACUAUUGGUGAUCAAUCAAUAACAAGUAAUCACAACUACACAAGUAAACAAGUUAAUACAAAAUAUAACAAGUGUAAAUCACAUUCAAGUCAUAUUAUUUAGCCAUAAGUUUCAUCUACUUCCUAGAUAAAGAAAAUUAGCUACUCAUGAAUGAUUUAACAAUCAAACUCACAAGUUUAUUAAUGCAAAAUAUCAUAAAGUACAAGUACAAGAAAGAUAAAAGAAAUCUUAGCCAAUUGAUGGUGAAUCCCUCCAAUUUCUGCUAUGUUCUUGUACAAGAUGAUUACAACUGAAAACUCCAAAUGCUUCUCUAAGGACUCCUAGCUAGAGAGAAAAUGUUACAAGAAGGAAAAACUAGCUACGUAUGGUCCUGUCCUGCUUCUCCCCUGUGUUUUUGCAUAAAAGGUAGUAGAAAGUCUAUUUUCCUCUUCAUAAUUUCCUCCAUUCAGAUUUUGUAAAAAGAAGUCAAAGAUAUGAUGUUUCCUUUUUUCUACAACUCAUUUGGUCUUCUCUUUUGUUGCAGAAGCAUGUGCCACCGAUUUCUAUCCCUCAAAAUAGUUGAAAAAAUUGUGAGAAAGGUAAAGAAAAACAGCUGUGUCACUUGCUGAGCAGAGAGACAAAUCCGAGCCUCGGAUCCGGGGGUGAAACUGGAUCCGAGGACUUCCCAAGGUGGAUCCGAGGUCGGAUCGUUCUGACCUUGGAUACACUCCUCCAAAAGUACAUACGAGGGCUCGGAUCCCUCUUGUUCACACGGAUCCGAGCUCGAAUCCGUGUUGAUUAAAUUUUCAGUUUUUCACUUCUUUCCUUUUUCUACAUUUUUGCUCCCAAUUUCUUUUGUACUUUGUCCUCUGGAUGAUCCUUGCAUUUCUUUCAACUUCGUGCACGAAUUUCAUACAUCAAUAACCUUCACAAUUUCACAAAAUUAACUCAUUAAUCCACUCAUUUAUCAAGUUUUGAACACUUAAACAAUAUUUUAAGUAAUUAUCACUAAAAGAGUUCAAAUAUGGCUUUAAUCUUCUCAAAACAUGCCAAAGAUUCAUGCCAAAUCUGUACAAAAUGUACGUUAAAUAUUCACUUAUCAAAAAACCUCUAAAAUCUCCUUUUCUUUAUCUUGCUUCUUUGAUUUCUCUAACCUGCUCGGAAAAGGCGGUAAGUUAGUUCCAACUCUAAUUAUAGAAUCAGGAAUUAUCUUUGGAUUCGCAUUUCUCAUUCCUUCCUCCUCAAGCUCUUUGUCAAUUCAAUCUUCAUUUUUAUCUUUCGGAAUCACAAGUUCGGAUCUCUGAAUUUUCUUCCCGUUCCUUAAGAUCAUUGCACUUACAUUUUUCAGGUUCAGUUCAGGUUGAGACGGUAAUUUUUCAUAAACUUGGGAUUCCAGGCGGUUGAUUGCUAUUGCCAUCUAACUCAUCUGAUUCUGCAUUACUUGCAUCUGUCCCAAUUGAUUUUUCAUACUUUGUAGGUCAGAAUCCAUUUUUUGUUGAUUAGCAAUUAAUUGCUUCAUCAUCUCUUCUAUAGACAGACUUGAGUUUGAAGGAGGUGGUGGCGGGCGAGACUGAUACUGUUAUUGAUACCCUUGCUGUCUAUUUGGUGUAAAAUCUGGCUGCCUAUUUCCUCCAUAGUUGAGGUUGGAAUGAUCUCUCCAACCAGGAUUGUAUGUAUUCGUGUACGGGUCGUAUGGCUUUCUUAGCACGGGCGCGUAACCAGCCAUGUUCACUUGCUCCGUACUUUUCUCUUGAAUCAUUGAGCACAUCUCUGUAGAAUGACCCAUAGCAGUGCAGAUCCCACACAAUUUGGCUCGUGAUGUAUUUCCUAUAGCUAAUUGCCUAACAAAGGAUGUUAAUUCGGUCAACUGCUAUUGGAUGGAAUAUGUCUCUACCUCAUUUACUUUGCGUGUCGGGACAUCUUCCCUCGUAUCAAACUGUUACGAAUUCUCCGUCAUUCCUUCAAUUAGCUCCUACGCUUCUCAAGAAAUUUUGUUCACCAAUGCCCCUUCACUUGCAGCAUCAAUUAUACUCCUGUCUCUAAAAAACAGCCCCUCGUAAAAAUAUUGGAUGAGCAAUUACUCACUUAUUUGGUGUUGAGGGAACUUGAUGCAUAACUUCUUGAAUCACUCCCAAUAAUCAUAAAGCGACUCUUCUAGAUACUGCUUGAUACCGCAUAUCUCCUUCCUUAGGCUUGCAGCUCGAGACGCAAGAAAAUAUUUGUUCAAAAACUUUUUCUUCAACUGAUCCCACGUGGUGAUGCUACUUGGUGGUAAGUAGUACAGUCAGUCUUUUGCGGAGUCCUUCAAGGAGAAGCAGAAUGCUCUCAUUUUUAUCUGUUCUUCUGUAAUUUCCGGAGGUUUCAUACUGUUGCAAACGACAUCAAACUCUUGCAAAUACUUAUACGGUUCCUCACCUGCUAAAUCAUAAAAAGAUGACAAGAGAUGAAUUAGACCAGAUUUUAACUCAAAUGGAGUGGUUAUCAUUUAAAUAUGGAAAAGUAAUACAUAAGGGCUGCUGUUUUAAAUCAGGAGCAGCAAACUCCCUUAGUAUCCGUGCAUUAGCCAUAGUGACUUCUUCUCGAUCCGAGUCACUAGAAGUAUCACUAUGUGAAUCUGUUAGUUCAACUUCUGGCUUAGGUCUUUGAGAUGAAGCACUGGAGUGCUCUUCUCUAAGUUGUCCGGUCUCUUUCCUUAUUUUAUGCGCAGUCUUCUCUACCUCGGGGUCAAAAAUUAAUUCACCUGUAUGAGAAGAAUGAGGCAUAUACUAGGAAAGCACUAGAAAAUUAGAACAAAAAUGAACCUAAAAAGAAACAAAUAAACCAACACCAGUCCCUGACAACGGCGCUAAAAAUUGACAGGUUAUCGAUGCCUGUGCAAUAAUAAAAAUAAACCUAGUUGCCAAUUAAAAUAAUCAGAGCCCAAUUCUGAGUACUGGAGCAGGGACUAUAGGUGUGUAAUGGGUUACUUGAUUCACCCUAUUCCCGAAGAGUUUGCUUAACCCGAUAUACCAGAAUGAGAUUGCUUAUUCAAAAUGAAUUGUUGAUUUGUAAACAGGGCAAGUAGGGUCGUAUCCUCAGGGAUUGGAAAAAAUUUGUUUCUUUUCAAAUCCACAGUAACAAGGAGGUGUUUUUGUAUAAACGAUAACAAUCUAAGGAGUGCAAAUAGAAAUAAAUAGAUAACUAGAAAUUAAAUGACAAUUCACUAAAAUUAGAAUAAUAAUAAUUAAAGGUCUAGCCAAGAAAUAAUUUCAGCAAUGGUUCACCUAAUUGAUCAUCGACGCAAAGGCAAUUCCAAUUAUUUACUAAUAAAUAGAUUAUAACUGUCAAACAAGUGAUGAUAGUCAACCCCUCCUUACUGUAUCAGUGAUUAAGGUAUGUCCGUUAAUCACUGCUAUAAUUGAGAAAUAAUCUUAGGUACGUCCGUAAGAUUUAAUUCCCCAAUUGCCUUACGUAUUAGAGGAGCCCUAUUCUAACCAAAUAACGCACUAUCAGGAUUAUUUUAAAUUAGCCCAUGUAUUCCCUUGAUACAAACCCAAUCAUGCCAGUUGUCACUAUUUCAAGGCAAUGAAACAAUUACGGAUUUAAUGCCCUAAUUGACUAUAGGUUACUAAAUCAAUUCACUAUCUCGAUCCAAGAUAAUCAAUCAAUUUAACAACUAAUAGCACUGCAAUCGGAGAAUAUGUAAAUACCAAUAAAUAAGAGGAAAAGAUAAAAUUAAAUCGAUCUCACAAUUUUUAGACAAACCAAAGCAUCAGUUAUUUCUUGACUAGAAAAGAAAAUUUAGUUCAUUCCUAAUGCGAAAGACCCACGCGAGAAUUCAAAAAUAAUAUUCACGGACAUCGUCUUGAUCCAGUAGAUUCAAUUGCGUUGGAAUAAGGAUAAAAAACCAAACUACAGAGAGUGAUUCAUUGUUUUGUUUCGUCUGCACUUUUUCUACACAUACGGAAGAAGAAAAACAACUAAAGGAUGAAAAAAGAAAAGUCAAAGAAAGCCACCCAAAGUAGUGCUUGGUCUCUACCAUCCUAUUUCCUAUCUAAUUACUACUUCCCUUCUGCGGCUGCCUAGAGGAAGAAAGAAAAGGAGACUCCAGGUCUUGUUCCAUCUCCUCCCUUUUCGGCAAUUCCCCAAAAGUAGAAAAGUUCCUCCGUUUACCAAAAUGCCCCUGGAAUGAGGACCGCUACUUGAACUCAUUUCCUGAUGACUGUCAAAUUGACACUUGUUAUGGUAUUUGCGUUCCACUCCCUGUAAUAAAUGCAAAUUGUCAAAAGUGAGUAAAAUUUGACAAUUAAUUUAAAUCGGGUCAGGUAAUAGGGGAAAUUAAUUAUAAAAUAAAUGAUAAAAUUGUAACCUAUCACUUAGAAUAACUAGAAAUAAAACAAAACAAGAAAUGAAAGAAAUAAGAGGGGUAGCAUAGACAUUUUGGAUUUUUCUGUUAAUUUGGAUGAUUUCCACCCACGGUCUAAUUUAAUCCAAAACACAAAUGGAUUAUGUGGAGGUUUUUAAACAAUGAGGGAGUAUCAUGAUCGAAUUCUAAAACACAAAGGGGAUUUACUAUAUUUUACUCUUAAAUUUUGGUUUCAUCUCAUAGCAUACAAGAGUACUAUUUCACUGUCUGUCGACAAAGAUUUUCUAUGGUUGAUGUACCAUAGGAAAAAUCUGCCUAUACCAUCAUUUGGAAAAAUUAUCAAUCCAAACAUAGCCACCAUAGCAUUUUUUCAAAAACACAAGAUGGAAAAUUGUCCCCUUAAACGUUGAAAUUCAUGAUCUUUCCUCGACCUAGUCUACUUGUCAAUUCUUGAAAAAAGAAUAGUCACGCCUAAAACACGGCCUCUUCAUCUGCAGAAUUCUAAAAAGUUAGGUAAACUCUAUAAACAAGUUGAUAGGUACAAUCGUACCCAAGAUCAAGUACAGGUAUUUGUACAUUCACUGCUGCAAUAACUAAUCUGAUGACUUACAAACACAUCAUGGUCAAUCGUUGAAUGGUAAUGAGUCUUUUGUUAUGCAUUAGUAUUAGUGUGUACACUCUAAUAGAUUGAUACUUAUACACUUUAAAUUAUCAUAAUAAUACCCUUAAUUAACUUUAACUCUUAAAAAGAAUACGUGUUAAUACACGAGAGUGUGUAAUAGAACGGCAAGCAUUAUGGUGGUCAUUGAGCAACUUAUAGGAGAAAUAGUCCUAUAAGCUGUUCAAUGACCAAUCACAACUUGCUAAUUGGAUGACUAAUAUAGCUCUAGCUGUAAUGUUUUAAUUAAAUUCCAUCACUAACGUUGGGAUGACUUUUUAACCAAAAAAAAAAGCCUUAGUUCAAGCUCUUCCCUUUAUUGUGCAUUUUUUAAAACAUUUGAUAGGCACUGCAAAUCUGUCAUUUUGGACAUUUUAUUAUUAACUAACCAUGAAAGCCGUGGACAUCAACCCAUAUCCAACAGAAUAUUAAAUUAAUAUUAGAAAAAAUUAUUAAGUAAUUGGAAAAAAAAAAGAAGAGACUAAUUUUCAUUGAAACCCACCGACAAACUAUACGUGUCCAUAGCUUUUGAUUAGUGCAUUCAACGUUUAAUUGUAUAGUCCAGUUCAUAGCCGAUUACAUGGAGUAAAGAUUGUGCUCUUUCCUUUUUCACCCCUUUUGGAAUCGAUACUGUGGAGAAUUGGGUUUUUCCCUCCUUUUUUUCUUUUCUUUCCUUCUGUGCUUUGCAAAACAUAGGUAAAAAUAUGAAAUCCGAAGCAUUCUUUAAUUGGGAUUAAGUAUUGUUCUUGAAAUUAAAAAGAAGAAAGAAAGAACAACAAAAAUCCCAAUCUGGGUUGAUUGUUGAGCUCUAGUUUGGCGGCAUCGUGCUUCCAUAGAAGUUCUCUUAGUGUGAUACGCUGCUUUCAAUCAGUUUAACACGGGAAAAAGAAAAGACAUGAAAAGCAAAUUUUGUGGGGAUAAUUUCAGAAAUCUCUCCUGAAGUUUUUUACUAUUUUACUGGCCUCCUUUCAAAUUUUAAAAAUUACACUAGUCUUCCUUGAGAUUAUUUAUCUUGUAACAUUUAGGUCCAAUCAAUAAUUAAAAGAUGAUAUUAUGAGAGAGAAAAAAAUAUGAUUUUAUCAUUGCCCCCAUCUUACUACAUUAUUGAAUUAAUUUAAUAGCAACCCACACAUUAAAGAAAAAUACUAAUAUUUGCUGUUUUUCAUUGAAGAUCAAAUCACAUGUGCCAUAAAAUAUAGUAUAUCAUUUUAUAUAUUUCACUUAAUGUAAGAUCCAAAUUAUUCUUUUCAAUUACAAAUCCAUUGUUAUUAUAAAAAAAAAAAUAAACUUUAACAUCAUAAAUAUUCUUAUCAAAAUAUUAAAGUUAGUUACUAAAAUUUUUAUGGUGUUAAAGUUCACUCUUUGUAAUAUUUAUGGGUUUGUAAUUGAAAAGAAUAAUUUGGAUCUUACAUUAAGUGAAAUAUAUAGAAUGAUAUACUAUUUUUUAUGGCAUAUGUGAUUCAAUCCUUGAUGAUAAAAAGCAAAUUCAAGUGUUUUCUUUAAUGUUUGUGCUGAUAUUAGAUUAAUUAAAUAAUUUAGUAGAUGAAAGAAAAUAGUGAAAUCAUAUUAUUUUUUCUUUCCUAAUAUCACUUUUUAAUUAUUGGUUGAACUUAGAUAUUACAAAAUAAUAAAUCUCAAGGGAGAUUAGUAUAAUUUUCAAAAUUUGGAGAGAAGCUAAUGAAAUAAUCAAAAACCUUAAGGGAGGUUUACAGAAUUAUCCCAAUUAUGUGGGAAUUAGAAUAAUUGUACUGGACGGCACUGCUGCAAUAGAGGGAAAGAGGAGAAGGUGCAGUUAACUUUUGUUGUUUGAAAUCCUUGGCGAAAUAUUACAGAAAGACAGAUAAAACGGUGGUUAGUACAUAAAUGUUUAUGACAGGGAAAAUGGUACGUCUGUUAAUCACAUUUGAAACAUUUUCAUUGGUGAAUGACCAAAAGUAUCAGGCUUGUCCAAUAGUUGAUCAUUGACCAAGAUAAAACCUGCCAUGGUAGAGCCGUAGAGGUACGAUCUUUUCGUACCUCUUAGUGCACAGGACAUUCCUUUGUUUCAUCUAGCUAAUAAUCUACCAACUCAUUUCUUCACAAAUGCACCUUUUAUGGUCACGUCUACGAAAGCCUUUACAGGAUCUUUACCCUAAAAAUCAAUUCACCGACUCCCAUUUGAUGUCAGAAAUUCUUCUACUUUACUCCAAGAUUGACUGUUAAUAAUAAUGAGACAAUGACCACUUUGAAUUAGGGGUGCGCAAAAUUAUCUGCUAAUCCGAAAAUCCGUCAUAUUCGAUCUGAUCCGAUCCAAAAAUUAGGAUAUUUGAUUUUUAUUAUUUGAUCGGAUCAAAAGAGGGUCGGGUAUCCGCUAAGAUACGGGGCGAGUUAGAGUCACAUAAUUAAAAAUUCGCGGGUAUCCGAUCCGCCCCGCAUAUAUAUAUUUUUUAUUUUUAUACACACUAUAAAAUAAUAAGUUAGAACCAAAUAAGUAAUUUUAUUGAACAAAUUGCAUUACAAAUAUGAGAGACUAUAGUUUAUUUACAAGAUUCAUUUGUAAAGGUCAUGAUCUUAUAUUUUAUAGAAAAAAGUUUAAUUAAUGUGGAACAUAUAUAUUAAAAAUUGUGCUACUUAUUUCAAACUUUUAUUGAUUUUGAUUUCUUUUAAUUUUUUUCCUUUAUCUUAUAUUCUCUUCAUAUGCUUGUUUCUUGGUGGGAAACCUUUUUUUAGAAAAAAAAAAUUAUUAAAUCUUAGAUGAAUGUGUAAAAUAUAAAAUUAAAUUAGUAUAAAUCAUUUUUUUAAAAAAAUUAAAUGAUAAACGGGACGGAACGGGUACCCGCUGAUCCGACCCUAUCUUAUCGGGUACCCGCUGAUAUGCGGGGCAGGUAAAAAUCAGAAAAUGACUGACCUGUAAGGUGCAGGUCGAAUCAAUCAAAUGGUGAAUGGGACGGGUAUACGACCCGCGCCAACACCUACUUUGAAUUAUCACACCAUCCUUCUUGAUAGGAUUGGUACUAGAGGUAGGGAGGGGAGUCGGCUGCAUCCGGUCUUCUUUUCAUAGAUGUCAUUCACGCAAUAUUAUAUUUCGAAGUCAUUGCAUGGCUAAGCUGCAAAAAAGUACGAACACUUGUUAUUAUAUAGCUUAAGAUUCAAAACGUUAGAGCAUAACCCUCCACCUAACACAAUUGAAUAAUGAAUAUUCACGAUUGUCAAAUCUGUCAAAGCACAGUUUGAGGACAACCCAUUCCAACCUGCAAAAGAUUUUUUACUUUUCUAAAGUUGUUGAGAGCUGUAAAAAGACUUACCAUGCUUACAUCUUCCGAGCCUUGGGAGUUAAAAAUGAAGGCACUGAGUGCUAUAAAAAGGGGGCUAGAGGCUGCCUAGAAGCAUAUCAGCCUAAAACAAGAAUUUGUAGUUAUGAUGGGAAGCAAAGCAAAAGCAAUGGGGUCUGGGCUGACUCCUCUUCUUACCACUCUUUUAGUGGUAUUUGUUGCUCUUGGCUUGCCCUCAGAAACUGCAGCUGAUGAUCACUACAAGUAUUCAUCUCCUCCUCCUCCUUACCACUAUCCCUCACCACCACCUCCAGAGCAUUUACCUCCACCAGUGUACAAAUACAAGUCCCCACCACCACCUCAUCAUGUUUACAAGUACAAAUCUCCACCACCCCCACCACCACACCCAGUUUACAAGUAUAAGUCGCCACCACCACCUCCUCAUCCGGUACCACACCCAGUUUACAAGUAUAAGUCACCACCACCACCUCCUCAUCCGGUACCACACCCAGUUUACAAGUAUAAGUCACCACCACCACCUCCUCAUCCGGUAUACAAGUAUAAGUCUCCUCCGCCACACCACACCCAGUUUACAAGUAUAAGUCACCACCACCACCUCCUCAUCCGGUACCACACCCAGUUUACAAGUAUAAGUCACCACCACCACCUCCUCAUCCGGUAUACAAGUAUAAGUCUCCUCCGCCACCACCACACCCAGUUUACAAGUAUAAGUCACCACCACCACCUCCUCAUCCGGUACCACACCCAGUUUACAAGUACAAGUCACCACCACCUCCUCCCCCAGUUUACAAAUACAAGUCUCCACCACCACCAGUUUACCACUACAAGUCACCACCACCUCCUCCCCCAGUUUACAAAUACAAGUCUCCACCACCUCCUCACCACUACUAAGCAAUUGCUUCUGAGGUAAUAACACUUGUUCAAUAUACCCACUUCUGCAUGAUAAAACAUAUCUCUAUCAACACAAACUGUCAUGUCUAUCAUGCUAAGUGCCUUCACUUCAUCCACCAAAAUGACUGCUAGAAAAUUUUUUUUAUGUUACCAAAGAAAGGCAUCAUUUUUUCCCUCUGUUAUCAAGAACUUGUACAGUAUAUAGAUUAAAGAGUUUUUUUUUAACUAGCUUAUCAACUUAGAAAUGCAUAUAGCUGAUAGCCAGCUGAAUAUUUG